AUACGUAGGGGGCGAGCGUUGUCCGGAAUGAUUGGGCGUAAAGGGCGCGUAGGCGGCCGCUUAAGUCUGGAGUGAAAGUCCUGUUUUUAAGAUGGGAAUUGCUUUGGAUACUGUCGGGCUUGAGUGCAGGAGAGGUAAGUGGAAUUCCCAGUGUAGCGGUGAAAUGCGUAGAGAUUGGGAGGAACACCAGUGGCGAAGGCGACUUACUGGACUGUAAUUGACGCUGAGGCGCGAAAGUGUGGGGAGCAAACAGGAUUAGAUACCCUAGUAGUCCACGCCGUAAACGAUGAGUACUAAGUGUCGGGUAACCGGUGCUGAAGUUAACACAUUAAGUACUCCGCCUGAGUAGUACGGUCGCAAGGUUGAAACUCAAAUGAAUUGGCGGGG
This 387-nucleotide ribosomal RNA is filed under the name uncultured bacterium. Its description in RNAcentral is "partial 16S ribosomal RNA". It matches the Rfam family "Bacterial small subunit ribosomal RNA", at positions 523 to 918 of the family's 1533-position model. The record is from RNAcentral.